GGGUUGUGAGGUUAAGCGACUAAGCGUACACGGUGGAUGCCCUGGCAGUCAGAGGCGAUGAAGGACGUGCUAAUCUGCGAUAAGCGUCGGUAAGGUGAUAUGAACCGUUAUAACCGGCGAUUUCCGAAUGGGGAAACCCAGUGUGAUUCGUCACACUAUCAUUAACUGAAUCCAUAGGUUAAUGAGGCGAACCGGGGGAACUGAAACAUCUAAGUACCCCGAGGAAAAGAAAUCAACCGAGAUUCCCCCAGUAGCGGCGAGCGAACGGGGAGCAGCCCAGAGCCUGAAUCAGUGUGUGUGUUAGUGGAAGCGUCUGGAAAGGCGCGCGAUACAGGGUGACAGCCCCGUACACAAAAAUGCACAUGCUGUGAGCUCGAUGAGUAGGGCGGGACACGUGGUAUCCUGUCUGAAUAUGGGGGGACCAUCCUCCAAGGCUAAAUACUCCUGACUGACCGAUAGUGAACCAGUACCGUGAGGGAAAGGCGAAAAGAACCCCGGCGAGGGGAGUGAAAAAGAACCUGAAACCGUGUACGUACAAGCAGUGGGAGCCUCUUUAUGGGGUGACUGCGUACCUUUUGUAUAAUGGGUCAGCGACUUAUAUUCUGUAGCAAGGUUAACCGAAUAGGGGAGCCGAAGGGAAACCGAGUCUUAACUGGGCGUUAAGUUGCAGGGUAUAGACCCGAAACCCGGUGAUCUAGCCAUGGGCAGGUUGAAGGUUGGGUAACACUAACUGGAGGACCGAACCGACUAAUGUUGAAAAAUUAGCGGAUGACUUGUGGCUGGGGGUGAAAGGCCAAUCAAACCGGGAGAUAGCUGGUUCUCCCCGAAAGCUAUUUAGGUAGCGCCUCGUGAAUUCAUCUCCGGGGGUAGAGCACUGUUUCGGCAAGGGGGUCAUCCCGACUUACCAACCCGAUGCAAACUGCGAAUACCGGAGAAUGUUAUCACGGGAGACACACGGCGGGUGCUAACGUCCGUCGUGAAGAGGGAAACAACCCAGACCGCCAGCUAAGGUCCCAAAGUCAUGGUUAAGUGGGAAACGAUGUGGGAAGGCCCAGACAGCCAGGAUGUUGGCUUAGAAGCAGCCAUCAUUUAAAGAAAGCGUAAUAGCUCACUGGUCGAGUCGGCCUGCGCGGAAGAUGUAACGGGGCUAAACCAUGCACCGAAGCUGCGGCAGCGACACUAUGUGUUGUUGGGUAGGGGAGCGUUCUGUAAGCCUGCGAAGGUGUACUGUGAGGUAUGCUGGAGGUAUCAGAAGUGCGAAUGCUGACAUAAGUAACGAUAAAGCGGGUGAAAAGCCCGCUCGCCGGAAGACCAAGGGUUCCUGUCCAACGUUAAUCGGGGCAGGGUGAGUCGACCCCUAAGGCGAGGCCGAAAGGCGUAGUCGAUGGGAAACAGGUUAAUAUUCCUGUACUUGGUGUUACUGCGAAGGGGGGACGGAGAAGGCUAUGUUGGCCGGGCGACGGUUGUCCCGGUUUAAGCGUGUAGGCUGGUUUUCCAGGCAAAUCCGGAAAAUCAAGGCUGAGGCGUGAUGACGAGGCACUACGGUGCUGAAGCAACAAAUGCCCUGCUUCCAGGAAAAGCCUCUAAGCAUCAGGUAACAUCAAAUCGUACCCCAAACCGACACAGGUGGUCAGGUAGAGAAUACCAAGGCGCUUGAGAGAACUCGGGUGAAGGAACUAGGCAAAAUGGUGCCGUAACUUCGGGAGAAGGCACGCUGAUAUGUAGGUGAAGCGACUUGCUCGUGGAGCUGAAAUCAGUCGAAGAUACCAGCUGGCUGCAACUGUUUAUUAAAAACACAGCACUGUGCAAACACGAAAGUGGACGUAUACGGUGUGACGCCUGCCCGGUGCCGGAAGGUUAAUUGAUGGGGUUAGCGGUAACGCGAAGCUCUUGAUCGAAGCCCCGGUAAACGGCGGCCGUAACUAUAACGGUCCUAAGGUAGCGAAAUUCCUUGUCGGGUAAGUUCCGACCUGCACGAAUGGCGUAAUGAUGGCCAGGCUGUCUCCACCCGAGACUCAGUGAAAUUGAACUCGCUGUGAAGAUGCAGUGUACCCGCGGCAAGACGGAAAGACCCCGUGAACCUUUACUAUAGCUUGACACUGAACAUUGAGCCUUGAUGUGUAGGAUAGGUGGGAGGCUUUGAAGUGUGGACGCCAGUCUGCAUGGAGCCGACCUUGAAAUACCACCCUUUAAUGUUUGAUGUUCUAACGUUGGCCCCUAAU
This 2222-nucleotide ribosomal RNA is filed under the name Escherichia coli. Its description in RNAcentral is "bacterial LSU rRNA". It matches the Rfam family "Bacterial large subunit ribosomal RNA", at positions 1 to 2239 of the family's 2925-position model. Lineage: Bacteria; Pseudomonadati; Pseudomonadota; Gammaproteobacteria; Enterobacterales; Enterobacteriaceae. The record is from RNAcentral.